GAUGAACGCUGGCGGUGUGCCUAAUACAUGCAAGUCGAGCGAACAGACGAGGAGCUUACUCCUCUGACGUUAGCGGCGCACGGGUGAGUAACACGUGGAUAACCUACCUAUCAGACUGGGAUAACUUCGGGAAACCGGAGCUAAUACCGGAUAACAUGUUGAACCGCAUGGUUCAACAGUGAAAGACGGUCUUUCUGUCACUUAUCGAUGGAUCCGCGUCGCAUUAGCUAGUUGGUAAGUUAACGGCUUACCAAGGCGACGAUGCGUAGCCGACCUGAGAGGGUGAUCGGCCACACUGGAACUGAGACACGGUCCAGACUCCUACGGGAGGCAGCAGUAGGGAAUCUUCCGCAAUGGGCGAAAGCCUGACGGAGCAACGCCGCGUGAGUGAAGAAGGUCUUCGGAUCGUAAAACUCUGUUAUUAGGGAAGAACAAAUGUGUAAGUAACUAUGCACGUCUUGACGGUACCUAAUCAGAAAGCCACGGCUAACUACGUG
RNAcentral lists this ribosomal RNA (497 nucleotides) under uncultured bacterium. RNAcentral describes it as "partial 16S ribosomal RNA". It matches the Rfam family "Bacterial small subunit ribosomal RNA", at positions 28 to 507 of the family's 1533-position model. The record is from RNAcentral.